GAUGAACGCUAGCGGCAGGCUUAAUACAUGCAAGUCGAGGGGCAGCAGUUUUGUAGCAAUACAGAAGCUGGCGACCGGCAAACGGGUGCGGAACACGUACGCAACCUUCCUUUAACUGGGAGAUAGCCCACCGAAGGGUGGAUUAAUAUCCCAUAAUAUAACUGAAUGGCAUCAUUUAGAUAUUAAAGCUCCGGCGGUUAAAGAUGGGCGUGCGUCUGAUUAGGUAGUUGGCGGGGUAACGGCCCACCAAGCCUUCGAUCAGUAGCUGAUGUGAGAGCAUGAUCAGCCACACGGACACUGAGACACGGGCCCGACUCCUACGGGAGGCAGCAGUAAGGAAUAUUGGUCAAUGGACGCAAGUCUGAACCAGCCAUGCCGCGUGGAGGAUGAAGGCCCUCUGGGUUGUAAACUUCUUUUCUUUGGGACGAAACCCCUGUUUCUACGGGGACUGACGGUACCAGAGGAAUAAGCACCGGCUAACUCCGUGCCAGCAGCCGCCGUAA
This 503-nucleotide ribosomal RNA is filed under the name uncultured bacterium. Its description in RNAcentral is "partial 16S ribosomal RNA". It matches the Rfam family "Bacterial small subunit ribosomal RNA", at positions 28 to 523 of the family's 1533-position model. The record is from RNAcentral.